GGGAGGCUGUGACUCUGAAAGGAAAACAUGUGGCUUUCUCUCCCUUACUUCUAACUAAAACUUAGAUUUCUUUUUGUUAUCACUGACAUUCCCAAAGGAAGGGGCUUAAAAUAUUAAUACCUGUCUUUGUCACCAACAAAAACCACAGAUUGAAUAUUGGACUGAAACAGUUCUAUUUGCAGCUGCUUUUCCACCUCCUGAAAUCAGCUCUUCAUUUUCCAGCAGAUGCAGGCCUCUCAGAAACAGGACACAUGUGAAGCAGAUCCAACCAAGCCUGGGCCUCCCACCAGGCAUGCACAUCCUAAGGGGACAGAGCGCAGCCAGCCCUCUCCAAGUCCUCCUCCAGGAGAAGAAUUGUGGAGACCACAUCCCGAAGAUGUGCUCACAAUGGGUAACACCCACUCCAAUGUCAUCCCUUGCAAACAUGCAGCUCUUCUGCCUGGACUCUUAUAAGCAGAGAUCAUCCUCCUUGUUGGAGAAAUGGAAAAAUGAAAAGAUCCCAGUGCCACUGAGAGUAUUAAGGCAGCAAAGGACUCUCGUACCUAGAGGUUGGGCCCAAUAUGUGACCACCUUCAAGGAUGCCCACAGGCAGUGGGUGCCAGGUGGCUGUGAUUUCUGUGGCUCCCAGAGGAACAGGCUGGCUUACCACUGGGUCAGGCUUGCCCAGCACAGGGACAAGUUGGGGACCUGAGGAGCAGGGAGCGGCAAUGCUGAUGUUCAAGUGGCUUAUGUGAGCUGAGCAGCCUUGGGGCAGCAUCUGAUCAGCCAUGAUCCACAGCACGAUGGCUACAGUCACUUAGUCCACAACUUCUGAGAUGGACUAAGUAAUAAAGAGGACUUCUGAGAACAGCCAGGUGGCAUUGGUCGCACACAUUAGACCUCAUCUUAUCCUUACUACAUCUGGGGAC
Molecule: long non-coding RNA, 908 nt
Filed under: Fukomys damarensis (Damara mole-rat)
Lineage: Eukaryota; Metazoa; Chordata; Mammalia; Rodentia; Bathyergidae
Description: lncRNA (ENSFDAG00000022680.1)
Source: RNAcentral